This 253-nucleotide ribosomal RNA is filed under the name uncultured bacterium. RNAcentral's name for it is "partial 16S ribosomal RNA". It matches the Rfam family "Bacterial small subunit ribosomal RNA", at positions 524 to 776 of the family's 1533-position model. The record is from RNAcentral.
UACGUAGGGUGCAAGCGUUGUCCGGAAUUACUGGGCGUAAAGAGCGCGCAGGCGGUCGUUCAAGUCGCGUGUGAAAGCCCCCGGCUCAACUGGGGAGGGUCACGCGAUACUGAUCGACUGGAAGGCAGGAGAGGGUAGUGGAAUUCCCGGUGUAGUGGUGAAAUGCGUAGAUAUCGGGAGGAACACCAGUGGCGAAGGCGACUACCUGGCCUGUUCUUGACGCUGAGGCGCGAAAGCUAGGGGAGCAAACGGG